UAUUUUUCAAUGUGAAAAUUGCACUGUCAUCUUAUUUCAUACGUUUCAAUUGCUUAUAUUAAAUGAGCAUUGUUUUCAAUAUUAGAUCUUAUGUAAUUACGAAUUUUAUCAUCAUGCUAUCUGAAAAUCAAUUAUACAGAAACUGGUUAGAAAAACUUUUAGGUGACAGUCCGCACUAACUGAUAGAAGAAGAAAGAGAAACACAAUCGGCGUAUGGACGAUUGAAAUACCAACUCCAAAUAUGAAGUGAGUAUUCAAUUCAAUAGACUGUUGGUGUUUUGCCUAAACAUGCCGACAAAAAAAUCACCAGAAUACGCUAGCUCACUGGCAAUGAGUCAUCAAACCCAACGGUACGACAUAACACAACUCCAAACAUGUACAACUGAGGUGUCAACAGUGUCAGACACGACUAAUAUGAGUGCCGUAGAUCAAGUGUAGAGGAAGUGGGUGAUGAUAAGCAACGUGGACCAUUGACCGGACACGCACGUAACUUUUGAACAGUUACUUAAAAUUCUUUGAUAAAGGGACCCAGUAUUUCCGGAACAUUUUUAAAAGUUAAGUUGAAAAAUAUACUUAAGCCAUAUACUUCCCUCAGGGGUGUAUAUGGUUUACAUAUACGAUGGGUAUGAAGAAUCCAGG
Molecule: long non-coding RNA, 639 nt
Organism: Daktulosphaira vitifoliae (grape phylloxera)
Lineage: Eukaryota; Metazoa; Arthropoda; Insecta; Hemiptera; Phylloxeridae
Exons: 3
Source: RefSeq, a predicted model, not a curated record